GGACUACGGACUUCACUCCAACCCAUGUGACGUUACCAAACUGUUGCCUCGGCGGGAUCUCUGCCCCGGGUGCGUCGCAGCCCCGGACCAAGGCGCCCGCCGGAGGACCAACCAAAACUCUUUUUGUAUACCCCCUCGCGGGUUUUUUAUAAUCUGAGCCUUCUCGGCGCCUCUCGUAGGCGUUUCGAAAAUGAAUCAAAACUUUCAACAACGGAUCUCUUGGUUCUGGCAUCGAUGAAGAACGCAGCGAAAUGCGAUAAGUAAUGUGAAUUGCAGAAUUCAGUGAAUCAUCGAAUCUUUGAACGCACAUUGCGCCCGCCAGUAUUCUGGCGGGCAUGCCUGUCCGAGCGUCAUUUCAACCCUCGAACCCCUCCGGGGGGUCGGCGUUGGGGAUCGGCCCUGCCUCUUGGCGGUGGCCGUCUCCGAAAUACAGUGGCGGUCUCGCCGCAGCCUCUCCUGCGCAGUAGUUUGCACACUCGCAUCGGGAGCGCGGCGCGUCCACAGCCGUUAAACACCCAACUUCUGAAAUGUUGACCUCGGAUCAGGUAGGAAUACCCGCUGAACUUAAGCAUAUCAAUAAGCGGAGGAACAU
This 592-nucleotide ribosomal RNA is filed under the name uncultured Trichoderma. Its description in RNAcentral is "eukaryotic LSU rRNA". The stretch from base 200 to 353 matches the Rfam family "5.8S ribosomal RNA". Lineage: Eukaryota; Fungi; Ascomycota; Sordariomycetes; Hypocreales; Hypocreaceae. The record is from RNAcentral.